Molecule: long non-coding RNA, 340 nt
Organism: Larimichthys crocea (large yellow croaker)
Lineage: Eukaryota; Metazoa; Chordata; Actinopteri; Sciaenidae
Exons: 3
Source: RefSeq, a predicted model, not a curated record
UGAACUUAGAGUGGAUCAUCUGGAACUCCCCGAACGCCACAACAAACGCACCGCAUAGCUCCAACACACAGAGGAGAGACAAAGACACCUCAUAAUAUGUGGUAUUAUGUAGGACACCACUGUUUGAUAUGACAACACUGAGCCAUGAGGCACAAUGGACACCAGUAACCUAUUCAGGAUCCAGUUAAUCAUUAUUACCUGCUCUUAUCUACAGAUCAACCAUUUGUUGCAAUGUUAACUGAUGAUAGACUGGGAGGAGGAGGAAAGAGAACUGAGGACUCUUUCUGCCAACUGGCAGGAAGAACCUACAUGAGCAACACUAAAGAGGAGGGGCGUCCAC